This 235-nucleotide unclassified non-coding RNA is filed under the name Aspergillus turkensis. RNAcentral's name for it is "partial internal transcribed spacer region". The stretch from base 1 to 46 matches the Rfam family "Eukaryotic small subunit ribosomal RNA", at positions 1786 to 1831 of the family's 1831-position model. Lineage: Eukaryota; Fungi; Ascomycota; Eurotiomycetes; Eurotiales; Aspergillaceae. The record is from RNAcentral.
AAGUCGUAACAAGGUUUCCGUAGGUGAACCUGCGGAAGGAUCAUUACCGAGUGCGGGUCUGCCCCCGGGCGCCCAACCUCCCCCCCGUGAAUACGUGACCCUGUUGCUUCGGCGGCGUGUUCCCCCCCCGGGGGGUCCGCCGCCGGGGACCAUUGAACCCCGAACCGAGUAUGUUGCAGUCUGAGCUUUAAUAGCAAAUCAGUCAAAACUUUCAACAAUGGAUCUCUUGGUUCCG